AGUUUUCCUUUUCAGGUACAUGUUUGAAUUGAAAGCAAGUGUACAUAGCAUAAAGGUGACAUAAGCACAUGCUUGAUGUGAAAGCAAGUUAACAUAGCAUAUAGGUGAUGUACGAGCAGAAAAACCUAUGCCUAACCAACAUAAAGUAACAUGUGAUUUUGGGACUAUCAAAUUGAAGAUAAAUUUGUGUAUGAUUUACUCAGAUGCUGCCUACACUCAUUCUCCAGCAAUCACAAGUUUCUUCAGUUUAGCAACUACCCAAUCCAUGCAGUAGCGGCAAGACAGUCUCGGGAAGUGCUCCUCGAGUUGCUCUUAAGUCCUUUCUCUAAAGCAUGGAAGAGAGGAC
This is a non-coding RNA of Nicotiana tabacum (common tobacco), 346 nucleotides long. The record is from RefSeq and is a predicted model, not a curated record. Lineage: Eukaryota; Viridiplantae; Streptophyta; Magnoliopsida; Solanales; Solanaceae.